RNAcentral lists this ribosomal RNA (482 nucleotides) under uncultured bacterium. Its description in RNAcentral is "partial 16S ribosomal RNA". It matches the Rfam family "Bacterial small subunit ribosomal RNA", at positions 355 to 853 of the family's 1533-position model. The record is from RNAcentral.
UGGGGAAUAUUGCACAAUGGGCGAAAGCCUGAUGCAGCAACGCCGCGUGAGUGAUGAAGGUCUUCGGAUUGUAAAGCUCUGUCUUUUGGGACGAUAAUGACGGUACCAAAGGAGGAAGCCACGGCUAACUACGUGCCAGCAGCCGCGGUAAUACGUAGGUGGCGAGCGUUGUCCGGAUUUACUGGGCGUAAAGGGUGCGUAGGCGGAUGUUUAAGUGAGAUGUGAAAUACCCGGGCUUAACUUGGGUGCUGCAUUUCAAACUGGAUAUCUAGAGUGCAGGAGAGGAGAAUGGAAUUCCUAGUGUAGCGGUGAAAUGCGUAGAGAUUAGGAAGAACACCAGUGGCGAAGGCGAUUCUCUGGACUGUAACUGACGCUGAGGCACGAAAGCGUGGGUAGCAAACAGGAUUAGAUACCCUGGUAGUCCACGCCGUAAACGAUGAGUACUAGGUGUAGGAGGUAUCGACCCCUUCUGUGCCGCAGUA